AUACCUUUCUCGGCCUUUUGGCUAAGAUCAAGUGUAGUAUCUGUUCUUAUCAGUUUAAUAUCUGAUACGUGAUCCAUUGGAUCACACGAUAUUAAAUUUAUUUUUUGAGUGGGAGAGUCCAUCACAGCAGCUUGCUACUGGGGCUCUCGAUCGUUGCCCUGGUUUUGCACUAUUGCUUGGCCUGGCGAACCACAC
Molecule: small nuclear RNA, 195 nt
Filed under: Gossypium hirsutum (cotton)
Lineage: Eukaryota; Viridiplantae; Streptophyta; Magnoliopsida; Malvales; Malvaceae
Description: U2 spliceosomal RNA
Rfam family: U2 spliceosomal RNA
About the family: U2 is a small nuclear RNA (snRNA) component of the spliceosome (involved in pre-mRNA splicing). Complementary binding between U2 snRNA (in an area lying towards the 5' end but 3' to hairpin I) and the branchpoint sequence (BPS) of the intron results the bulging out of an unpaired adenosine, on the BPS, which initiates a nucleophilic attack at the intronic 5' splice site, thus starting the first of two transesterification reactions that mediate splicing.
Source: Rfam by way of RNAcentral